This 413-nucleotide ribosomal RNA is filed under the name uncultured bacterium. RNAcentral describes it as "bacterial SSU rRNA". It matches the Rfam family "Bacterial small subunit ribosomal RNA", at positions 945 to 1359 of the family's 1533-position model. The record is from RNAcentral.
UUUAAUUCGAAGCAACGCGAAGAACCUUACCAGGUCUUGACAUCCCUCUGACCGCUCUAGAGAUAGAGUUUUCCUUCGGGACAGAGGUGACAGGUGGUGCAUGGUUGUCGUCAGCUCGUGUCGUGAGAUGUUGGGUUAAGUCCCGCAACGAGCGCAACCCUUAUUGUUAGUUGCCAUCAUUCAGUUGGGCACUCUAACGAGACUGCCGGUAAUAAACCGGAGGAAGGUGGGGAUGACGUCAAAUCAGCAUGCCCCUUAUGACCUGGGCUACACACGUGCUACAAUGGCUGGUACAACGAGUCGCAAGCCGGUGACGGCAAGCUAAUCUCUUAAAGCCAGUCUCAGUUCGGAUUGUAGGCUGCAACUCGCCUACAUGAAGUCGGAAUCGCUAGUAAUCGCGGAUCAGCACGCCG